CGAAGGGGGCUAGCGUUGUUCGGAAUCACUGGGCGUAAAGCGUAUGUAGGCGGAUUGUUAAGUCGGGGGUGAAAUCCUGAGGCUCAACCUCAGAACUGCCUUCGAUACUGGCGAUCUUGAGUCCGGGAGAGGUGGGUGGAACUCCUAGUGUAGAGGUGAAAUUCGUAGAUAUUAGGAAGAACACCAGUGGCGAAGGCGGCUCACUGGCCCGGAACUGACGCUGAAAUACGAAAGCGUGGGGAGCAAACAGGAUUAGAUACCCUGGUAGUCCACGCCGUAAACGAUGGAUGCUAGCCGUCGGACAGCUUGCUGUUCGGUGGCGCAGCUAACGCAUUAAGCAUCCCGCCUGGGGAGUACGGUCGCAAGAUUA
RNAcentral lists this ribosomal RNA (370 nucleotides) under uncultured organism. Its description in RNAcentral is "bacterial SSU rRNA". It matches the Rfam family "Bacterial small subunit ribosomal RNA", at positions 526 to 896 of the family's 1533-position model. The record is from RNAcentral.